UAGGGAAUAUUGGACAAGUGGGGGAAACCCUGAUCCAGAAAUGCCGCGUGAGUGAUGAAGGCCUUAGGGUUGUAAAGCUCUUUUACCCGGGAUGAUAAUGACAGUACCGGGAGAAUAAGCUCCGGCUAACUCCGUGCC
Molecule: ribosomal RNA, 138 nt
Filed under: uncultured bacterium
Lineage: Bacteria
Description: partial 16S ribosomal RNA
Rfam family: Bacterial small subunit ribosomal RNA
Source: RNAcentral